CUUAGAAAUUGCUUUUAUGUGUUAUGAGUGGUUAUAGGAAGAAGUGAUAUUCUUUAAGAAUUUAGUUUAGAAAAUAAGCUUUGUGAUAUUCAAUAUAAUUCUUUUUAUUAACCCUAAAGAAUUUAGUUCUUCCUUGGUGUUACUUCAGUGUCUUAAUAAUUAACACUACUUUUAGUUAGAUUCUAAGAGAGAUUUGGCAGGGAACUUUAUUCUUUUCCAACUGCCUCAUUGGUUUUACAAGAUAGUAAACUUGUAGACAAUAUAAUUUUGGCUGUCAGUAAAAAUGAGGAAAGUGAUUACUGUGUGUGAUACAGUAGAGUAGGAUUUAAGUCAUAAUGCCUGAUCUAAGUUUUAAAAAAUGUGCUGCAGGUUUUAGUCAGCAGUUGGGGGUAGUUUGUGAUAUUGGUGAAAGCAGCUUCUGACACAGCUCACCAAAGUGAAUGCUGUCUUGUUCAGAAGAUAUUUUGUUUGUUUGUUUUAAUUCAGACUUGAACUCAGCACUUGGCCUACAAUUAUUCAGAUAUCACUGGACCCAAUUUAAGACUUAAAAAUAUCCUUGUGCAUUAAAUUUCAGAGAAAAGAGACCAACUUACAGAUUCUCUCAUGAUGGGAACUUUUUAAAAAAUAUUCUUUUAGAUGUUAAUGGAGCUUUAUAUUAUUCAUUUAUUUAUAAGUGCUGCUGAGAAUUGAACCCAGUGUCUCACACAUGCUAGACAAGAGCUCUACCACUGAGCCCAAACCCCAGCCCCAUGAGCAGAAAUUUUGUAGCUCUAAAAUGACCAAAAGUAGUCCACUGCUCAGAAGGGGCAGUCCUGCACCAGAGGCUUGGCUCUAGCAAAAACUGGAAAUCCAUAUGCAACAAAAUGAGAUUAAACCCCUAUCUCUCACCAUGCACAAAACUCAACUCAAAAUGGAUCAAGGACUUAGGAAUACAACUAAAGACCCUGCAUCUAAUAGAAGAAAAAGUAGGCCCUAAUCUCCAUUAGGUGGGAUUAGGCCCCAAGUUUCUUAGUAAGAUUCCUGUGGCAUAAGAAUUAAAAUCAAGAAUUAAUAAAUGGGGUGGACUCAAAUCAAAAAGUUUCUUCCCAGCAAAAGAAACAAUCUGUGAGGUGAAGAGAGAGCCUACAUCUUGGGAGCAAAUCUUUACCCCUCACAUAUCAAAUAGAGAACUAAUCUAUAGGAUAUAUAAAAAUCUCAAAAAGCUAAACACCAAAAAAUCAAAUAAUCCAAUUAAUAUAUGGGUCAAGGACCUGAAGAGACACUUUUCAGAAGAUGAUGUACAGUCAAUCAACAAAUACAUGAAAAAAUGUUCAUCAUCACUAGCAAUUAGAGAAAUACAAAUCAAAACUAAGAUUUCAUCUCACUCCACUUAGAAUGGCAUCUAUUAUGAAGACAAACAAUAAUAAGUGUUGGCAAGGAUGUGGGGAAAAAGGCACACUCAUACAUGCUGGUGGGACUGCAAAUUGGGGCAGUCAAUAUGGAAAGCAGUAUGGAGAUUUCUUGGAAAAUUGGGAAUGGAACCACCAUUUGACCUAGCUAUCCCUGUCCUUGGUCUAUACCCAACUUAAAAACAGCAUACUACAGGGACACA
Molecule: long non-coding RNA, 1591 nt
Filed under: Marmota monax (woodchuck)
Lineage: Eukaryota; Metazoa; Chordata; Mammalia; Rodentia; Sciuridae
Source: RNAcentral